This 550-nucleotide ribosomal RNA is filed under the name uncultured bacterium. Its description in RNAcentral is "bacterial SSU rRNA". It matches the Rfam family "Bacterial small subunit ribosomal RNA", at positions 355 to 896 of the family's 1533-position model. The record is from RNAcentral.
UAGGGAAUCUUCCGCAAUGGGCGAAAGCCUGACGGAGCAACGCCGCGUGAGUGAUGAAGGUCUUCGGAUCGUAAAACUCUGUUAUUAGGGAAGAACAUAUGUGUAAGUAACUGUGCACAUCUUGACGGUACCUAAUCAGAAAGCCACGGCUAACUACGUGCCAGCAGCCGCGGUAAUACGUAGGUGGCAAGCGUUAUCCGAAAUUAUUGGGCGUAAAGCGCGCGUAGGCGGUUUUUUAAGUCUGAUGUGAAAGCCCACGGCUCAACCGUGGAGGGUCGUUGGAAACUGGAAAACUUGAGUGCAGAAGAGGAAAGUGGAAUUCCAUGUGUAGCGGUGAAAUGCGCAGAGAUAUGGAGGAACACCAGUGGCGAAGGCGACUUUCUGGUCUGUAACUGACGCUGAUGUGCGAAAGCGUGGGGAUCAAACAGGAUUAGAUACCCUGGUAGUCCACGCCGUAAACGAUGAGUGCUAAGUGUUAGGGGGUUUCCGCCCCUUAGUGCUGCAGCUAACGCAUUAAGCACUCCGCCUGGGGAGUACGACCGCAAGGUUG